This 219-nucleotide ribosomal RNA is filed under the name uncultured bacterium. RNAcentral's name for it is "partial 16S ribosomal RNA". It matches the Rfam family "Bacterial small subunit ribosomal RNA", at positions 111 to 334 of the family's 1533-position model. The record is from RNAcentral.
UAAUGUAUGGGGAUCUGCCCGAUAGAGGGGGAUAACUACUGGAAACGGUGGCUAAUACCGCAUAAUGUCUACGGACCAAAGCAGGGGCUCUUCGGACCUUGCACUAUCGGAUGAACCCAUAUGGGAUUAGCUAGUAGGUGGGGUAAAGGCUCACUAGGCGACGAUCUCUAGCUGGUCUGAGAGGAUGAUCAGCCACACUGGGACUGAGACACGGCCCAG